RNAcentral lists this ribosomal RNA (399 nucleotides) under uncultured Synechococcus sp. RNAcentral's name for it is "bacterial SSU rRNA". It matches the Rfam family "Bacterial small subunit ribosomal RNA", at positions 383 to 799 of the family's 1533-position model. Lineage: Bacteria; Bacillati; Cyanobacteriota; Cyanophyceae; Synechococcales; Synechococcaceae. The record is from RNAcentral.
CCGUUCCGGACACGCCGCGUGAGGGAGAGGCCUCUGGGCUGUAAACCUCUUUUCUCAAGGAAGAAGAUCUGACGGUACUUGAGGAAUAAGCCACGGCUAAUUCCGUGCCAGCAGCCGCGGUAAUACGGGAGUGGCAAGCGUUAUCCGGAAUUAUUGGGCGUAAAGCGUCCGCAGGCGGCCCUUCAAGUCUGCUGUUAAAAAGUGGAGCUUAACUCCAUCGUGGCAGUGGAAACUGUUGGGCUAGAGUGUGGUAGGAGCAGAGGGAAUUCCCGGUAUAGCGGUGAAAUGCGUAGAUAUCGGGAAGAACACCAGUGGCGAAGGCGCUCUGCUGGGCCAUAACUGACGCUCAUGGACGAAAGCCAGGGGAGCGAAAGGGAUUAGAUACCCCUGUAGUCAUCG